Molecule: ribosomal RNA, 555 nt
Filed under: uncultured Meliniomyces
Lineage: Eukaryota; Fungi; Ascomycota; Leotiomycetes; Helotiales; Helotiaceae
Description: eukaryotic LSU rRNA
Rfam family: 5.8S ribosomal RNA (bases 195-348)
Source: RNAcentral
UCCGUAGGUGAACCUGCGGAAGGAUCAUUAAAGAAUCGCCCCGUUUUUUGAAAUGGGUUCUAUUCCCAAACCGUGUAUACAUACCUUUGUUGCUUUGGCAGGCCGCCUUCUAGGCGUCGGCUCCGGCUGACUGCGCCUGUCAGAGGACCCAAACUCUUUUGUUUAGUGAUGUCUGAGUAUUAUAUAAUAGUUAAAACUUUCAACAACGGAUCUCUUGGUUCUGGCAUCGAUGAAGAACGCAGCGAAAUGCGAUAAGUAAUGUGAAUUGCAGAAUUCAGUGAAUCAUCGAAUCUUUGAACGCACAUUGCGCCCCUUGGUAUUCCGAGGGGCAUGCCUGUUCGAGCGUCAUUAUAACCACUCAAGCCUCGGCUUGGUCUUGGGGUUCGCGGUUUCGCGGCCCUUAAAAUCAGUGGCGGUGCCGUCUGGCUCUAAGCGUAGUAAUUCUCUCGCUAUAGGGUCCAGGUGACCAUUUGCCAUAACCCCCCAUUCUUUACGGUUGACCUCGGAUCAGGUAGGGAUACCCGCUGAACUUAAGCAUAUCAAUAAGCGGAGGAA